UACGAAGGGGGCUAGCGUUGUUCGGAAUCACUGGGCGUAAAGGGCGCGUAGGCGGCCGCUCAAGUCGGGGGUGAAAGCCUGUGGCUUAACCACAGAAUUGCCUUCGAUACUGUUUGGCUUGAGACCGGAAGAGGUGAGUGGAACUGCGAGUGUAGAGGUGAAAUUCGUAGAUAUUCGCAAGAACACCAGUGGCGAAGGCGGCCAACUGGUCCGAUACUGACGCUGAGGCGCGAAAGCGUGGGGAGCAAACAGG
This 253-nucleotide ribosomal RNA is filed under the name uncultured bacterium. RNAcentral describes it as "partial 16S ribosomal RNA". It matches the Rfam family "Bacterial small subunit ribosomal RNA", at positions 524 to 776 of the family's 1533-position model. The record is from RNAcentral.